This 440-nucleotide ribosomal RNA is filed under the name uncultured bacterium. RNAcentral's name for it is "partial 16S ribosomal RNA". It matches the Rfam family "Bacterial small subunit ribosomal RNA", at positions 338 to 795 of the family's 1533-position model. The record is from RNAcentral.
CCUACGGGUGGCAGCAGUGGGGAAUAUUGCACAAUGGGGGAAACCCUGAUGCAGCGACGCCGCGUGAGUGAAGAAGUAUUUCGGUAUGUAAAGCUCUAUCAGCAGGGAAGAAAAUGACGGUACCUGAUUAAGAAGCCCCGGCUAACUACGUGCCAGCAGCCGCGGUAAUACGUAGGGGGCAAGCGUUAUCCGGAUUUACUGGGUGGAAAGGGAGCGUAGACGGUGAUGCAAGUCAGGCGUGAAAGCCCGGGGCCCAACUCCGGGACUGCUUUUGAAACUGUGUGACUGGAGUGCAGGAGAGGUAAGCGGAAUUCCUGGUGUAGCGGUGAAAUGCGUAGAUAUCGGGAGGAACACCAGUGGCGAAGGCGGCUUACUGGACUGUAACUGACGUUGAGGCUCGAAAGCGUGGGGAGCAAACAGGAUUAGAUACCCCUGUAGUC